GCUUGUCUCAAAGAUUAAGCCAUGCAUGUCUAAGGAUAANCAUUAUACAGCGAAACUGCGAAUGGCUCAUUAUAUAAGUAUCGUUUAUUUGAUAGUACCUUACUACUUGNAUACCCGUGGUAAUUCUAGAGCUAAUACAUGCUAAAAUCCCGACUUCGGAAGGGAUGAUUUAUUAGAUUAAAACCAAUGCCCUCUGGGCUCCUUGGUGAUUCAUAAUAACUUUUCGAAUCGCAUGGCCUUGCGCCGGCGAUGGUUCAUUCAAAUUUCUUCCCUAUCAACUUUCGAUGUUUGGGUAUUGGCCAAACAUGGUCGCAACGGGUAACGGAGGGUUAGGGCUCGACCCCGGAGAAGGAGCCUGAGAAACGGCUACUACAUCCAAGGAAGGCAGCAGGCGCGCAAAUUACCCAAUCCCGAUUCGGGGAGGUAGUGACAAUAAAUACUGAUACAGGGCUCUUUUGGGUCUUGUAAUUGGAAUGAGUACAAUUUAAAUCCCUUAACGAGGAACAAUUGGAGGGCAAGUCUGGUGCCAGCAGCCGCGGUAAUUCCAGCUCCAAUAGCGUAAAGUUGUUGUGGUUAAAAAGCUCGUAGUUGAACCUUGGGCCUGGCUGGCCGGUCCGCCUCACCGCGUGUACUGGUCCGGCCGGGCCUUUCCCUCUGUGGAACCUCAUGCCCUUCACUGGGUGUGGCGGGGAAACAGGACUUUUACUUUGAAAAAAUUAGAGUGCUCCAGGCAGGCCUAUGCUCGAAUACAUUAGCAUGGAAUAAUGAAAUAGGACGUGUGGUUCUAUUUUGUUGGUUUCUAGGACCGCCGUAAUGAUUAAUAGGGACAGUCGGGGGCAUCAGUAUUCAAUUGUCAGAGGUGAAAUUCUUGGAUUUAUUGAAGACUAACUACUGCGAAAGCAUUUGCCAAGGAUGUUUUCAUUAAUCAGGAACGAAAGUUAGGGGAUCGAAGACGAUCAGAUACCGCGUAGUCUUAACCAUAAACUAUGCCGCCUAGGGAUCGGACGAUGUUAUUUUUGACCCCGUUCGCACCUUACGAGAAAUCAAAGUGCUUGG
This 1056-nucleotide ribosomal RNA is filed under the name Cordyceps farinosa. RNAcentral describes it as "SSU rRNA". It matches the Rfam family "Eukaryotic small subunit ribosomal RNA", at positions 30 to 1110 of the family's 1831-position model. The record is from RNAcentral. Lineage: Eukaryota; Fungi; Ascomycota; Sordariomycetes; Hypocreales; Cordycipitaceae.